AUUGAAACACCAGUUCUCGUAUGAUCAUCAAAGUUAAGCAACAUCACACCUGUCCAGUAUCUAGAUGGGUGACUGCAUGGGAAUAUCAGGUACUGUAAG
Acanthosepion pharaonis is the source of this 99-nucleotide non-coding RNA. NCBI's taxonomy places the organism in Eukaryota, Metazoa, Mollusca, Cephalopoda, Sepiida, Sepiidae. The record is from the annotation of a GenBank genome assembly.